AGCGAACGCUGGCGGCAGGCUUAACACAUGCAAGUCGAGCGGGCACUUUCGGGUGUCAGCGGCGGACGGGUGAGUAACGCGUGGGAACGUGCCCUCUGGUUCGGAAUAACUCAGGGAAACUUGAGCUAAUACCGGAUACGCCCUUUUGGGGAAAGGCUUGCUGCCGGAGGAUCGGCCCGCGUCUGAUUAGCUAGUUGGUGAGGUAACGGCUCACCAAGGCGACAAUCAGUAGCUGGUCUGAGAGGAUGAUCAGCCACACUGGGACUGAGACACGGCCCAGACUCCUACGGGAGGCAGCAGUGGGGAAUAUUGGACAAUGGGCGCAAGCCUGAUCCAGCCAUGCCGCGUGAGUGAUGAAGGUCUUAGGGUUGUAAAGCUCUUUUAUCCGGGACGAUAAUGACGGUACCGGAGGAAUAAGCCCCGGCUAACUUCGUG
Molecule: ribosomal RNA, 435 nt
Filed under: uncultured bacterium
Lineage: Bacteria
Description: partial 16S ribosomal RNA
Rfam family: Bacterial small subunit ribosomal RNA
Source: RNAcentral